CCUUCGGGUGGCAGCAGUGGGGAAUAUUGCACAAUGGGGGAAACCCUGAUGCAGCGACGCCGCGUGAGUGAAGAAGUAUUUCGGUAUGUAAAGCUCUAUCAGCAGGGGAGCAAAGGACGGUACCUGAUUAAGAAGCACCGGAUAAAUACGUGCAAGAAGCCGCUGUACUACGUAGGGAGCAGGCGUUAUACGGAUUUACUGGGUGUAAAGGGGGCGUAGGGGGGAGGACAAGUCUGGAGGGAAAGGCCCGGGCUUAACCCCGGAACCGCCGUUGAAACUGUGCAGCUAGAGUGCAGGAGAGGUAAGUGGAAUGCCUAGUGUAGCGGUGAAAUGCGUAGAUAUUAGGCGGAACACCAGUGGCGAAGGCGGCUUACUGGACUGUAACUGACGUUGAGGCUCGAAAGCGUGGGGAGCAAACAGGAUUAGAUACCCCUGUAGUC
RNAcentral lists this ribosomal RNA (440 nucleotides) under uncultured bacterium. RNAcentral describes it as "partial 16S ribosomal RNA". It matches the Rfam family "Bacterial small subunit ribosomal RNA", at positions 338 to 795 of the family's 1533-position model. The record is from RNAcentral.